GAUUUUAUAAUUUAAAUUUUAAAAUAUUGACCUUGUAAGCCAACUAUUGGGGACCCCCUCAUAAAAUCA
This 69-nucleotide transfer RNA is filed under the name Pseudachorutes palmiensis. Its description in RNAcentral is "tRNA-Thr". It matches the Rfam family "tRNA". Rfam says of the family: Transfer RNA (tRNA) molecules are approximately 80 nucleotides in length. The record is from RNAcentral. Lineage: Eukaryota; Metazoa; Arthropoda; Collembola; Poduromorpha; Neanuridae.